AGCACUAUGUGGGGGAUAAUCCAGUUACUUUGAUGUAGUAAAGAUCGAAUUUAUUCUAGUGCAU
Molecule: transfer RNA, 64 nt
Filed under: Xenostrobus securis
Lineage: Eukaryota; Metazoa; Mollusca; Bivalvia; Mytilida; Modiolidae
Description: tRNA-Ile
Source: RNAcentral